Molecule: RNA transcript, 769 nt
Organism: Eurytemora carolleeae
Lineage: Eukaryota; Metazoa; Arthropoda; Copepoda; Calanoida; Temoridae
Gene name: ribonuclease kappa-B
Exons: 4
Source: RefSeq, a predicted model, not a curated record
CCCUAACGAAAUUCUUUCAGACAAUAUGCCUUUGUGUGGACCUAAACUAUCCCUGUGUGGAGUUGUAAUCUCGGCCUGGGGAAUCCUUCAGCUAUCUCUUAUGGGAGUUUUCUUCUACAUUCACAGUGUAGCUCUCAUUGAAGAUAUUCCCCUGGAGGAGGAAUACACUGACCUUAGUGAGCUAAGGAAGGAAAUGGAGUCGGGAUAUAAUCAGAACGCAUUGAACUGCUGGAUUGCUGCUCUACUAUACCUCGUCACUCUUUGCUUCUCAGUUCAACAGUUCUGGAUGAACAACAGAAGCACCUACAGGGUUUGAGAUUAGCUCAAGAAUCGAGACACCACAAAUCCUCUUGAUGAUUGACCGGCAAUAUUUCACAUAACUCCUAGAUUUAGAAAUAAUUAUUUUAUUCCAGAUCGUUUACAAUUAAAUUUCUUUUUAGAUUUUCCAAACUUUCUUUGUAACGCGUCUUGUAUAAUGUUUAAUGUCAGUAGCUAUAAUAGGAAUAAUUUUUAUCUAUUUGAACAUUUCCUUUUCAAAUAUUUAAUCAUCAUUUUGUCUAAAGAAUAAUUAUGAUUAAAAUUAUGAUUUAUCCUCUGAAUCCUACGUAUUUAUUAUAGUUCAUCAUUUCUGUGAUUUUUAUUCAUUUGGGAACUUGUAUUUAUUUAAAGUGUUUUACUCUGUAAAAAUAUAAAUGAUUUUUUAAUAUGGAACUACAGGUUCCUAAUCAUUCGUUAUAUAUGAUUAAAAUAAAGUUAAGUGUUAACGUUU